Molecule: long non-coding RNA, 1562 nt
Organism: Anser cygnoides (Swan goose)
Lineage: Eukaryota; Metazoa; Chordata; Aves; Anseriformes; Anatidae
Source: Ensembl
CGGUGGGGGUCCAGGCGGGCGUUUGUCCUUCCCUACAAGUAAACAGAGCUUCAGGUGAGCGCUUGUCCCCGUUUAAGGGGUGCUGAAGGAAUGUUGGUCCCUCACAAGCAGUACACUGAAAUUCAAGGCCAGAUUGGGCCUUCAGUUUUCUUUAAGCAGAACUCCUCAUUAAAGUCAGUAAAGAGCUCUGUUUUGAAAUCAAUGGCACAUUAUGGCCCCAAGUGAGCACUUAAGGGAGAACUAUAAUUCCUUUCUAUUCCAUGGACUAACUAACUUCAGGAAAUAAAACAUUUUUUUGAGGAUUUUUUGUUUUUCUUUUUGACUUGAAUGCUGGUUCAGCUUGAAUAUAAAAAGACAGAAAUAGAGCAAGAUGGUUGGUAAGAUUUGUCCUUGGGUCACACUUAUGGGAGGGGGCAGGGGGGGUAGAAAAGAAAUCCCUCGGUUUCCAAUCAGUAAAUAUUGAAAAUUGCCCUCUCUGUGUGGACGGGCUGGUGGUGCGUCAAUUUCAAUGUAAGACGUGCAGUGUCUAUUCACUGUAGCCUUGGGUGCCCCCCCUGUCCCCCAGACUUAAACGAGACCUGCAGCAGGCUCCUGCCUGCGACACUUUGAGUUUCUGCUAUUUCAGCAAUAGGCUCCCAAAGCCAGGAUAAUGUGAACGGGAGAGGCUUAAAACAAACAAGCGAUUGAGGGGUCCAAAUCGCUCUUUCAGGCACACGCAGCUAAACCUUCCUUCGCGGGAGAGGGCGGUGGUUUUUAAUCUCGCCUCCGAAUUCCUCCCGAGCGGGGGGUCUCCCCUCGGCGAGGGGCGGGCGGCAGAGGUGAGUGGCUCUCCUCGCCCCGCGCGAGGGGAGUGGGUGGCAGAGAGGGGAGGACAGGCGAGUUGCGUAGCAGGGCGAGGUGGGUUUCCAUGCUCGGCAAUUGCGCACGGUCCCUUACGUAACCGUCAGCUGGGGAUUCCCUGGAGGGGGUCACUUUAUUCAACCAUUACACAGACCCCGGCCGCCGCCGCUCCGCCGCGCCCGGGGCCGCCGCCGGCUGAGGCUGAGGCUGCGGCUCCGGCUGCAGGCAGCGCGGCGGCGGCUCCUCACAAAAUGGCGGCGCCCAUGGAAGCGGCAGCAGCCCCAUUUUGUGCCCGGCAGAGCCUGUCAACAAAACGCCGACUUGGCCAAGGCUGAGGAACAGAAGGCGGCGGCUUCGUUCGCGUUACGGCGCGGAGGGAGGAGAGCGGAGGAUUUCACCGCCCUCCCGCCGCCGAGAGGAGACUUUUCUACAAAUGCGUGCCUUAUGAAUAAACCGGCUAUUAGGCUGAUGCUUCAAGUAACACUAUCCAGCACCAAGAAGCAGAAGUACAAAACGUCUGGAAGAAAUGAAGUGCAAUUUGUGGAAGAAGCAGAGCUGUACGCAUCAUGUAGACGUAGCUGCACAUGGAACUCCCCCCCAGUGUGAGGAUGAACCUGCUCUCCAUGCCUCGGCCAGCUCAGGAAACGCGGCUCUGAGCAGGAGAACAUCCAGCCCUGCAAACAGCGAAGGCAGGACAUCUCUCCCCUGUCAACUCUGUCCUG